This 285-nucleotide unclassified non-coding RNA is filed under the name plant metagenome. Its description in RNAcentral is "partial contains small subunit ribosomal RNA, internal transcribed spacer 1, and 5.8S ribosomal RNA". The stretch from base 1 to 54 matches the Rfam family "Eukaryotic small subunit ribosomal RNA", at positions 1778 to 1831 of the family's 1831-position model. The record is from RNAcentral.
GGAAGUAAAAGUCAUAACAAGGUUUCCGUAGGUGAACCUGCGGAAGGAUCAUUGUUGUAUAACCGAGGUGCGAGGGCUGUCGCUGACCCGAAAGGUCGUGCACGCCCGAGUGCCCUCACACACAUCCACCUCACCCCUAUGUGCACCACCGCGUGGGUCCCCCUUUGGCUUGUUCGGAGGGGGGCUUACGUUUUCACACAAACUUUGUAUGCAGUGUAGAAUGUAUUUUUUGUUUUUGCGAUCACGCAAUCAAUACAACUUUCAACAACGGAUCUCUUGGCUCUC